Molecule: ribosomal RNA, 303 nt
Filed under: uncultured bacterium
Lineage: Bacteria
Description: partial 16S ribosomal RNA
Rfam family: Bacterial small subunit ribosomal RNA
Source: RNAcentral
AGCAGUAGCCGCGGUAAAACGGAGGGUGCAAGCGUUAAUCGGAAUUACUGGGCGUAAAGCGCACGCAGGCGGUCUGACAAGUCAGAUGUGAAAUCCCCGGGCUUAACCUGGGAACUGCAUUUGAAACUGUCAGGCUGGAGUCUUGUAGAGGGGGGUGGAAUUCCAGGUGUAGCGGUGAAAUGCGUAGAGAUCUGGAGGAAUACCGGUGGCGAAGGCGGCCCCCUGGACAAAGACUGACGCUCAGGUGCGAAAGCGUGGGGAGCAAACAGGAUUAGAUACCCGUGUAGUCCCUGUCUCUUAUAC